This 985-nucleotide ribosomal RNA is filed under the name human gut metagenome. RNAcentral's name for it is "bacterial LSU rRNA". It matches the Rfam family "Bacterial large subunit ribosomal RNA", at positions 1942 to 2925 of the family's 2925-position model. The record is from RNAcentral.
AUAACGGUCCUAAGGUAGCGAAAUUCCUUGUCAGGUAAGUUCUGACCCGCACGAAAGGCGUAAUGAUUUGGGCACUGUCUCAACAGCCCGCCCGGCGAAAUUGUAGUACCGGUGAAGAUGCCGGUUACCCGCGACAAGACGGAAAGACCCCAUGGAGCUUUACUGUAGCCUAAUAUUGGGUUUCGAUGUUGCAUGCACAGGAUAGAUGGGACACAGGGAAACAAUCGCUUUGGCGGUUGCGGAGUGGCCGUUGGGAUACCAUCCUUGCGAUAUUGGAAUUCUAACCUGCGGCUCUGAAUCGAGUCGGGGGACAUUGUUAGGUGGGCAGUUUGACUGGGGCGGUCGCCUCCUAAAAAGUAACGGAGGCGCCCAAAGGUUCCCUCAGAACGGUCGGAAAUCGUUCGUAGAGUGCAAAGGCAGAAGGGAGCUUGACUGCGAGACCUACAAGUCGAGCAGGGACGAAAGUCGGGCUUAGUGAUCCGGCGGUGCUGAAUGGAAAGGCCGUCGCUCAACGGAUAAAAGCUACCCUGGGGAUAACAGGCUGAUCUCCCCCAAGAGUCCACAUCGACGGGGAGGUUUGGCACCUCGAUGUCGGCUCAUCGCAUCCUGGGGCUGAAGUAGGUCCCAAGGGUUGGGCUGUUCGCCCAUUAAAGCGGUACGCGAGCUGGGUUCAGAACGUCGUGAGACAGUUCGGUCCCUAUCUGUCGUGGGCGCAGGAAAUUUGAGAAGAGCUGUCCUCAGUACGAGAGGACCGGGAUGGACGCAUCAAUGGUGGACCAGUUGUCACGCCAGUGGCAUAGCUGGGUAGCUAAAUGCGGAAGGGAUAAACGCUGAAGGCAUCUAAGUGUGAAACCCACUUCAAGAUGAGAUUUCCCAUUGCGCAAGCAAGUAAGACCCCUUAAAGACGAUAAGGUAGAUAGGUCAGGAGUGUAAGCAUGGUGACAUGUUAAGCGGACUGAUACUAAUAGGUCGAGGGCUUGACCGA